CCUGGGACAAGGAAUAAAGAACAUGCACAGUGCUAAAUGAGGACAAGACUGAAGCUUGUUCUAAAUGACGAAAAAUAAGCAGUUGUGAGGAGAUGGAGAAACAGGUCUUCCCUUGAUGUUGUUGGCUGCUGCCUGAUCAGUGGAUGGUUCCUGAAGGAUGGGGUGGCUAUGGUAAUUUCUUAAAGUAAAACAACAAUGAUAAUUUGCCACAUUGA
This is a long non-coding RNA of Suricata suricatta (meerkat), 215 nucleotides long. RefSeq lists it as uncharacterized. The transcript is spliced from 2 exons. NCBI's taxonomy places the organism in Eukaryota, Metazoa, Chordata, Mammalia, Carnivora, Herpestidae. The record is from RefSeq and is a predicted model, not a curated record.